GUGCCAGUGAGAAGACUUCCGAUCAGUCUCAGUUGGUGAUCAAGUGGUGCACGGCCCAUACAUAUUUGGUUAUAAGUUGGCUAAUGGCCCAGCAGAAAACUUCAGAGAUCCACAUUGAAAAGAGGUGCCGGACCAACAGAGCCCACGGCGGUACGACGGACGAACAGCGUCGCCGCAGGGCACCAUAUGGCCAGGCUCCGAUACCUCCGGCGAUGUCCGCGGUGCCAUUGCCGCACCACCCGCAGCACCCUUCACCUUUUACUUGUGCCGUGCCUUCACUCGGCCGUCGUUCCCCAAGGUCGCGGUGUCUAAAUGUGUGGUUCUGGAAAUAAGAGCUAAUGCCGACCAGGUGUUUGAUGAAAUGGCUAGGCCGCAAAAGGCAUGCAGGCGAAGACGAGGUGUAACGAGGGCUGCAGACACUUCCUCUGCGAAUGGUGAUUCCAACUGCUCCAAUGCACCCUGAAGGCGUUUUCUAGUGAAAGAGAUUGCCUCAUCAAGUAUUUCCUCAUUAUGAAUCCUCAGAUGUGCAGCAUUAUAUAAACUCAGCAAACUUGCUGUAUCAGAGUCAAUGAAAUUUCCUUCCUUGUCUUGGAAUUUACGAAAUACAUCUGCAAAGUUGAUUGGCAAUUAGCAGAAGAUAAAACCGGAGCGAGACCACGUGUAGAUUACCAUCGUCGUGGUCAGAGUUGAAAACAACAUCCAGUUGCUGGCUGAUCUCCUUCUCGUAGUGGUAGUCCAAACCAAGCCGCUCUAUCGACAUUAUGAGGUCUAAUGUUUUUGCAGGCAGGCAUUGCUCCGGGUCCACAUGCAGGCAGAUAGAUACCUGGGCUUGAAGCGGCGGCUGGAAAGUAUUGAAGAAUUCGCCCCAGAGACACGGGUGGAAAGUGCUCUUGAUCUCCUGCUGGUGCUGGACGCCGGCGCAAACUCCAUUUGCCGUUGCUGCUGCCAUUCCUGAUUCUAUCUUCUGGUAGCUUAGCUUGCUAAGAUGCAGGCCGGCCGGUGCUUCAGUUUAGCACAAACCGAGAGCUCUUCGCAGCUGUUGUUGUUGUAGGUGUACCAUGCACACUGAGCUGGGUAUAUAUAGAGGGAGCCAGAGGGAGCCAAUUAGUUAAUCAUUGUUUUAUACUUGUGCCUCGUAAGUAAGUCAGCCUCGUGUGAGACGACAGCCCACUGCGUGGAUCGCUCUUGGUCAAAAGUCCAUAGCACAUGGUCUCGUUAUUAGCUGCUCGCCUGCCGGCCCUUCAGGCAGUGGAUUGACUGCGCAACUCUCUCUGCAAAUGUAUGCAAAGGUUAUACGGAGUAUUACUUUUUUUCCUUUUUCUCUUUGAAACUACAAGUCAAAAAAAUAUGUUCAUCAUUCCACACA
Long non-coding RNA from Brachypodium distachyon (stiff brome), 1366 nucleotides. RefSeq lists it as uncharacterized. NCBI's taxonomy places the organism in Eukaryota, Viridiplantae, Streptophyta, Magnoliopsida, Poales, Poaceae. The transcript is spliced from 4 exons. The record is from RefSeq and is a predicted model, not a curated record.